This 253-nucleotide ribosomal RNA is filed under the name uncultured bacterium. RNAcentral describes it as "partial 16S ribosomal RNA". It matches the Rfam family "Bacterial small subunit ribosomal RNA", at positions 524 to 776 of the family's 1533-position model. The record is from RNAcentral.
UACGAAGGGGGCUAGCGUUGCUCGGAAUGACUGGGCGUAAAGGGCGCGUAGGCGGAUGGCACAGUCAGAUGUGAAAUUCCCGGGCUUAACCUGGGGGCUGCAUUUGAUACGUGUUGUCUUGAGUUCGGAAGAGGGUCGUGGAAUUCCCAGUGUAGAGGUGAAAUUCGUAGAUAUUGGGAAGAACACCGGUGGCGAAGGCGGCGACCUGGUCCGACACUGACGCUGAGGCGCGGAAGCGUGGGGAGCAAACAGG